UACGAAGGGGGCUAGCGUUGUUCGGAAUUACUGGGCGUAAAGCGCGCGCAGGCGGUUUUCCAAGUCAGUGGUGAAAGCCCGGAGCUCAACUCCGGAAUUGCCAUUGAAACUGCAAAACUUGAGUACGAGAGAGGUGAGUGGAAUUCCCAGUGUAGAGGUGAAAUUCGUAGAUAUUGGGAGGAACACCAGAUGCGAAGGCGGGUCACUGGGCUGAUACUGACGCUGAUAUUGCGAAAGCCAGGGGAGCGAACGGG
This 254-nucleotide ribosomal RNA is filed under the name uncultured prokaryote. RNAcentral describes it as "partial 16S ribosomal RNA". It matches the Rfam family "Bacterial small subunit ribosomal RNA", at positions 524 to 776 of the family's 1533-position model. The record is from RNAcentral.